Molecule: ribosomal RNA, 88 nt
Filed under: Methanosarcina flavescens
Lineage: Archaea; Methanobacteriati; Methanobacteriota; Methanomicrobia; Methanosarcinales; Methanosarcinaceae
Source: RNAcentral
CCAUCCCGAACACAGCAGAUAAGCCUGCCCGCGUUCCUGACUGUACUGAAGUGCGCGAGCCUUCGGGAACUCUGGAUCGCUGCCAUGC